RNAcentral lists this ribosomal RNA (250 nucleotides) under uncultured bacterium. RNAcentral describes it as "partial 16S ribosomal RNA". It matches the Rfam family "Bacterial small subunit ribosomal RNA", at positions 524 to 773 of the family's 1533-position model. The record is from RNAcentral.
UACGUAGGGGGCAAGCGUUGUCCGGAAUUAUUGGGCGUAAAGGGCACGCAGGCGGUUUCGUCAGUCCGAUGUGACAGGCCACGGCUCAACCGUGGAAGGCCAUUGGAAACUGCGAAACUUGAGGACAGAAGAGGAGAGUGGAAUUCCACGUGUAGCGGUGAAAUGCGUAGAUAUGUGGAGGAACACCAGUGGCGAAGGCGACUCUCUGGUCUGUACCUGACGCUGAGGUGCGAAAGCAUGGGGAGCAAAC